GUUGCUGGCUGCACUGAGAAUUCAGAAUGGGAGACAAGCCUAUUUGGGAACAGAUUGGUUCCAGCUUUGUACAGCAUUACUAUCAGUUAUUUGAUACAGACCGGACUCAGUUAGGAUCAAUAUAUAUAGAUGCCUCAUGCCUUACAUGGGAAGGACUACAAUUUCAGGGCAAAGCA
Notechis scutatus (mainland tiger snake) is the source of this 176-nucleotide non-coding RNA. Lineage: Eukaryota; Metazoa; Chordata; Lepidosauria; Squamata; Elapidae. The record is from RefSeq and is a predicted model, not a curated record.